RNAcentral lists this long non-coding RNA (541 nucleotides) under Androctonus crassicauda. The record is from RNAcentral. Lineage: Eukaryota; Metazoa; Arthropoda; Arachnida; Scorpiones; Buthidae.
CCUUUUUAUAGAUUUUGAUCAACAUAAAGCAGUAAAGGAUGCAUUUAUUUCAACUUUUCACCAUAGUUUCUUGUUAAUUAUAAAGUCUGACAAUAAGUUUUGCGAGUCUGCUAUUAACAGAAAUUUUUAUUUUGGAGAACAAAUAAAUUAUGGAUAGGAAGAGAUAUUCUUAUUCUUACAUUGUAUUUUGACAUAGUCUCCACUGAUAUUGAUACAUUAAUUUUAUUGCUUAACAAAGUUGAAGCUCCCAUAAAAGUCUCUACUUUCCAUAUGGACAAAAUUUCAAAUGGCUUAUUUCUUGUCUCCAUUAUUGGUGAAAUGCUGUUAUCCCAACAUCAUCAUCAAAGCUGGAAGAAAAAGUCAGAUUGCAAAGGGGAUGAUUGAGGUGUUCUUAUUUGAACUUGGCAAUAAUGUUUAUUGUUGUUGUUGUUGUUGUUGCCAUAUUUGCCUUGUGCCCAUCAUAGUGGACAACCAGUUACAGUUUGUUCAUGUCUGCAGCAUAUGUCUGUUCACUAUUAUAUUCCCCUGGAAUAUUGGGGGC